This 373-nucleotide ribosomal RNA is filed under the name uncultured eukaryote. RNAcentral describes it as "partial 18S ribosomal RNA". It matches the Rfam family "Eukaryotic small subunit ribosomal RNA", at positions 592 to 976 of the family's 1831-position model. The record is from RNAcentral.
CAAUAGCGUAUAUUAAAGUUGUUGCAGUUAAAAAGCUCGUAGUUGAAUUUUUGCUUGCUGCCGAUGUCGGAACUUCCGUACGUUCGGCGGCGUGCAUCCUUGGGUGGAACCUGUGUGGCAUUAGGUUGUCGUGCAGGGGAUGCUCAUCGUUUACUGUGAAAAAAUUAGAGUGUUCAAAGCAGGCUUACGCCGUUGAAUAUAUUAGCAUGGAAUAAUAAGAUAGGACCUUGGUACUAUUUUGUUGGUUUGCGCACCGAGGUAAUGAUUAACAGGGACAGUUGGGGGUAUUCGUAUUCCAUUGUCAGAGGUGAAAUUCUUGGAUUUCUGGAAGACGAACUACUGCGAAAGCAUUUACCAAGGAUGUUUUCAUUAA